AGAGUUUGAUCCUGGCUCAGAAUGAACGCUGGCGGCGUGCUUAACACAUGCAAGUCGUACGAGAACGCUUCAGCUUGCUGAAGCUAGUAAAGUGGCGCACGGGUGAGUAACGCGUGGGUAAUCUACCUCCGAAUUGGGGAUAACGUUGCGAAAGCGACGCUAAUACCGGAUAAUAUCGAGAGGACUUCGGUUUUUUCGAUCAAAGGUGGCCUCUUCAUGAAAGCUACUGUUUGGAGAUGAGCCCGCGUCCCAUUAGCUUGUUGGUGGGGUAAAAGCCCACCAAGGCCGCGAUGGGUAGCUGGUCUGAGAGGAUGAUCAGCCACACUGGAACUGACACACGGUCCAGACUCCUACGGGAGGCAGCAGUGAGGAAUUUUGCGCAAUGGGGGAAACCCUGACGCAGCAACGCCGCGUGAGUGAUGGAGGCUUUCGGGUCGUAAAGCUCUGUCAAGUGGGAAGAAUCCACGUGGUGCUAAUAUCACCAUGUGCUGACGGUACCACUGAAGGAAGCACCGGCUAACUCCGUGCCAGCAGCCGCGGUAAUACGGGGGGUGCAAGCGUUAUUCGGAUUUACUGGGCGUAAAGCGCGCGUAGGCGGCCGUUUAAGUCAGAUGUGAAAGCCCGGGGCUCAACCCUGGAAGUGCAUUUGAUACUAUUCGGCUUGAGUAUGGGAGAGGGAAGUGGAAUUCCUGGUGUAGAGGUGAAAUUCGUAGAUAUCAGG
Molecule: ribosomal RNA, 721 nt
Filed under: uncultured delta proteobacterium
Lineage: Bacteria; Deltaproteobacteria
Description: bacterial SSU rRNA
Rfam family: Bacterial small subunit ribosomal RNA
Source: RNAcentral